CGUGUUUUGUCUACAACUCUGCAUUCGAACCUGAGUCGCCAGACACUGAAGGUAGAAAAGAUCUGUGCUGAUGAGACGAGAGUGACUAGUGUUACCUGGGGAUUUAAGGUGACAGUUAAGGAAUAUUGGUGAAACUGAUGUCACAGACAAGAAAAAAGAGUUGAAUGGACAACAGACGCAGCAAAUUAUCGAAGAAGGGAGAUCAGGUCAAGGAGCAGUUUUUAUGACCAAAGUCUGACCCAUUAUUAUGGCUUAGACCAAACUACAGCCUCCGAUCAUACCAACGAAAUCUUUCACGAUGGCGCCCGUGCUUUCAGUGGUAAGGGCUUUGCCCAACAGUAACGCCGUCAAGCUCUUCUCUCGGACAACCUCCUUUGUGAGCCAUGACAAGGUGGAAUAUAGGGCCCAGAGCAACGCCACGUCCGAGCGGGAAAGGGCCAAGACUGUGGCUGCCUAUUACAACCAACCUGCCAUUGAGGCUGCUGCGAAGAAGAAAACCGUGAGAUUAACUACAUCAGCCAUCUUGUACCAUGGGAGGAGUGAGGACGAGGCCACAAUCCUGAGAAGUGCACAAUAUUUGCAAAAGGAAUUGCCAGUUCGUAUUGCAAAGAGAAUCAUGGGAUUCCGUUCUCUUCCUUUCAUUGUGGGCUGCAAUCCAACAGUGCUUGGAGUGCAUGAACUGUACAUUCGAGCCUUCAACAUACUGAACAGUUAUGCUCCCAUUAUCACCAAGGAGGAUGAAGUCAACUUCAGCAGGAGGCUUAAUCAACUCUUGGAGGAUCAUAAGAAUGUAGUGACGCACCUUGCCCAAGGCUUCCGAGAAUGCAGACGGCACAUUCAAGAUGAAGAGUCCGUGGCCCGUUUUCUGGACACAACGCUCACCUCUCGUCUAAGUAUUCGGAUGCUGGCUCAACACCAUCUUUCUCUCAGGGAAAGUAAGCAAAACUAUGUAGGAAUUAUAAAUGUUGCAAUGAAGCUAAAGGAGGUGAUUGAACGCAGCUGUCAGUUUGUUUCUCGCGUUUCACUGCACAAAUAUGGGAAGGUGCCGGAAAUCAAACUGUCAGGUCAUGUCAAUGCGGUCUUUCCGUAUAUUGAGUUGCCGCUAGAUUACAUUUUGCCUGAGAUUCUAAAGAAUGCUGUGAGAGCGACAAUUGAGAGUCAUUCGGAAUAUGAAUCUGGACACUUGCCACCCAUACAUCUCACUAUAGCUUCAAAUGAGAGAGACUUCAUUAUCAGGAUUAGUGACAGGGGCGGAGGAAUCCCCCACCAUCUUGUAGGCCGUGUUCUCGAGUAUAACUUCACAACGGCAAACACGGAGAAUAUGUCUGAUCCAGAGCAGCAAGAGGGUGUUUUCUCAAACAUGAUGGAAGCAGUUAAUCCAAAUCCUGCUGGUGGGCCCAUGCAUGGGUUUGGGUUUGGACUCCCCACUUCCAGGGCCUAUGCAGAGUACAUGGGAGGCAGCUUGGAGAUACAGGCCAUGCAGGGCAUUGGCACUGAUGUUUAUUUGCGGAUGCAGCAUAUUAACAGUCAAGUUGGUUCCUUCAGGAUAUAGAUGGGAAUUAAGCAUUCACUUAGAAUUAUGGAGUGAUUUGAACCAGGUGUUGAGAAAAUGAAGAAGUGAUCUUCAGGAAUGUUACAAGUAAUCAGGUUGUAUUGAAAUAGCCAUUCUAGUGCCAAAAAUAACAUGUAAGGGAUAGAAGGGGUGGCUGUUUUAAAUGUAUUUAAUCUGCAGCCCCAUAAAACUAAUAAGGAAUAAGUUGAAAUGUUGAUAUGGAGGAAGGUAUUGUUUUGAUAAUGAGAAAAUUUUAAUUCAGCAGAUAUAAUUCAGGAAGGAAGCAUUUAACUGGUUUAGACUUGGCAAGCUUAGUAAUUAUAUUAAUGAAACCAAAAGCCAGUUUGUAACAAGGCAAAGUAGAAGUAAAGGACAAUGGCAUAAGUUUUCUUACUAGUACUUUAUUUUCUUAAGAUGUGUGAUGAUAGAAUUGAUUAUUUAAUUUUUAAACUUCUGUUACAUUCGUUGUACAAAUAAAACAAUUUGAUUAUCUAGAAAGGAUUUCCAGACAAAUUGACUUUAUUGAGUCUCCGAAAAUGUAUAACUAAAAUUACUGUGUGAGUACAUGAAAAGCUUUGACUCGGUGAACCCUGUUCUUUUUUCAGAGAGAUGCAUCAAUUAAUGAAAAACAGAAAAAUAUAUAGGCAGCUUUAAAGUUUUUAUCCUAAAGCAAACAUGGUAACAUAUUUGAAUAUUAUAAAGAAAGCUCUGUGUUUGUAUUAAAGGAAUUACUUAAAAGGAUAAACUUAAAAAUAUCUGUUUAGAGUAUACUUUUUAUAGAAUCAGUUAUUUUCGGCUAAAACUAAAGUUGGCAUAACUUACAGAAUAGAUAUUUGUUAAUUAGUAUUUUGAUUGCCUUGUUCUGGUAAUUCAUGUUUUGUCAUAUUAAUCAUAUAUUUGUCAUAUUUAGUGGAAAAUAAAAUAAAAUUAUAUUGUUUCACUGAAAGAACUUUUGAUGUUAAUUCAUUGAAUUUGUAAUGGAUAUUACAGAUGGAAACAUAAUUUAAAUAAUAAUUUGUAAUGAUAUAUAUAUUUGAGAGAUACUCUUGAGUAAAAUAAUUUUGAAUAUGACUAUAAUUUAAGAUUUGGUUAGCAUAAUGUAAACUUUUGUAUUUUAUGAGUAGAUGUAAUGCUAAUACUAUUUUUAAACCUUUGUAAUAUGACACCAUAGUAUGGUAGAUUAAUUUUCUCUUUUGAUGUGUGAUGUGAUUUACCUGUGUAUUAUAUAAUUUGUGUGCAUCCAAAAGUAGAUCUUAGAAUACGUUUUCAUUACUGGUAUGUAUAUUUUUUGUCAGGAACAAAGUAGUGCAAUUAGUCUGUGAUACAUGUUAGAUUAAAUUUCUUUUGUCUUUUAUUUCUUCAAUUUCUGUAAUGCAGAUAGAGUUUUUAUAGUAUAACUAUAGCUGAAGAGUAAAUGACUUUAAAAUUG
Molecule: unclassified non-coding RNA, 2981 nt
Filed under: Penaeus japonicus
Lineage: Eukaryota; Metazoa; Arthropoda; Malacostraca; Decapoda; Penaeidae
Description: 3-methyl-2-oxobutanoate dehydrogenase [lipoamide] kinase, mitochondrial-like, transcript variant X1
Source: RNAcentral